UACGGAGGGGGCUAGCGUUGUUCGGAAUUACUGGGCGUAAAGCGCACGUAGGCGGCUUUGUAAGUUAGAGGUGAAAGCCCAGAGCUCAACUCUGGAACUGCCUUUAAGACUGCAUAGCUUGAAUCAUGGAGAGGUUAGUGGAAUUCCGAGUGUAGAGGUGAAAUUCGUAGAUAUUCGGAAGAACACCAGUGGCGAAGGCGACUAACUGGACAUGUAUUGACGCUGAGGUGCGAAAGCGUGGGGAG
This 245-nucleotide ribosomal RNA is filed under the name uncultured Sphingomonas sp. RNAcentral describes it as "partial 16S ribosomal RNA". It matches the Rfam family "Bacterial small subunit ribosomal RNA", at positions 524 to 768 of the family's 1533-position model. Lineage: Bacteria; Pseudomonadati; Pseudomonadota; Alphaproteobacteria; Sphingomonadales; Sphingomonadaceae. The record is from RNAcentral.